CUCUUUUUCACAUCUCACUGAUACAGUAUCUAAUUGAUUAUUCAUUACAGUACCAGCAGGUAACAGCGUACAUAUACUGUAUGCAGAAACAGAACUAGUGACACAGAUAUGCCAGUUUCCUCUCUGUAUCGGGCAGAAAUGCACAAACUCUUAAGUCCAAAGACAAUACCUUUAUACUCAGGCACAUUUUCCAUGAGAGCAUUGCACACGGAUCCGGGUGUGUAUAUGUGUGUGUGUUUGAUUUUGUGUAUCUCUGUGUGUGUGUGCAUGCAGGUAAUGGUCUAUAGAGGAAGUAUAGACUCUGUAUACCUUCAUGAGGAAUACGCCUACCGAACGAUAACUGAAUUCACAUUGGGAAGGCUAACAGCCCUCUUCUUAAAGCAAACACAGAUGGACAGCUACUAAGGACGCUCUGUCUCUGCUUCCCUCACACACACAAGUCUCCUCUGAAUUACGGCUCUCGUCAACACUUGGCGCUCGGCUAAUCAGCCUCUGGGAGACACAUGACAGCUUUAUGAGACGAAAAAUCAACACACACUGACAGAAACACACACCUGCACAGAUAAAUAAGCAGAAAUACCUGAUCACACAACCUGUAAUUACACACACUUGCACUUCUAGUUUCUGUUGAAGAAAUGACAGCAGCAUGAGAUGUCUGCAGGUAAAAGAAUCAAAACAAAAGUUUGGGGGUAUAAAAUUUCAUUUAAAACUAAGUAGGCUAAUUGGGAGAAGAAGAACAAAAGGUCCAAUAAAUGUUCAGCUUUGUGCUUUUAUUCUCUUCAGCAUGUGAUUUGUCAGUACAUUAGUCAGAAACAUGAAAUGCUUUUUAAGUUAAAUAGGCUGACUCUCCUGUGAGUGACAGGUUGUCCAGCCCCAGUGUUGCCAAGUCCACAGUUUUCCAGCGGAAUUGAGCUACUUUCAUACUGUUGCCGCGGUUUGUUUUUCAUGUCCGCGGUUUGAAUCAACCCAAAAUAACGUGAUAUUUAGUCCCUGGAAUGAGAAUUUUAUUGGGGAGCCCCGCC
Molecule: long non-coding RNA, 1022 nt
Organism: Megalobrama amblycephala (Wuchang bream)
Lineage: Eukaryota; Metazoa; Chordata; Actinopteri; Cypriniformes; Xenocyprididae
Exons: 3
Source: RefSeq, a predicted model, not a curated record